AAAAGUCGUAACAAGGUCUCCGUUGGUGAACCAGCGGAGGGAUCAUUACCGAGUUUACAACUCCCAAACCCAAUGUGAACGUUACCAAACUGUUGCCUCGGCGGGGUCACGCCCCGGGUGCGUCGCAGCCCCGGAACCAGGCGCCCGCCGGAGGAACCAACCAAACUCUUUCUGUAGUCCCCUCGCGGACGUAUUUCUUACAGCUCUGAGCAAAAAUUCAAAAUGAAUCAAAACUUUCAACAACGGAUCUCUUGGUUCUGGCAUCGAUGAAGAACGCAGCGAAAUGCGAUAAGUAAUGUGAAUUGCAGAAUUCAGUGAAUCAUCGAAUCUUUGAACGCACAUUGCGCCCGCCAGUAUUCUGGCGGGCAUGCCUGUCCGAGCGUCAUUUCAACCCUCGAACCCCUCCGGGGGAUCGGCGUUGGGGAUCGGGACCCCUCACACGGGUGCCGGCCCCUAAAUACAGUGGCGGUCUCGCCGCAGCCUCUCCUGCGCAGUAGUUUGCACAACUCGCACCGGGAGCGCGGCGCGUCCACGUCCGUAAAACACCCAACUUUCUGAAAUGUUGACCUCGGAUCAGGUAGGAAUACCCGCUGAACUUAAGCAUAUCAAUAA
This 612-nucleotide ribosomal RNA is filed under the name Trichoderma sp. RNAcentral's name for it is "eukaryotic LSU rRNA". The stretch from base 232 to 385 matches the Rfam family "5.8S ribosomal RNA". The record is from RNAcentral. Lineage: Eukaryota; Fungi; Ascomycota; Sordariomycetes; Hypocreales; Hypocreaceae.